This 278-nucleotide long non-coding RNA is filed under the name Nicotiana benthamiana. RNAcentral describes it as "long non-coding RNA (NBEN_LNC001880)". Lineage: Eukaryota; Viridiplantae; Streptophyta; Magnoliopsida; Solanales; Solanaceae. The record is from RNAcentral.
UGCUUGUCUCAUUUGUUUUCUUAUUAUAUACAAUAAGUCUAGCUCGCCUUGGAGGAAGCUUAUUAGGAAUGGGAAGUCCUCCUUUCCUUCUGGACAUCAAUGAAGUUUGGAAAGGUGGGAAGAAAUAGGCAUCAGCCAGUGCAACGACACUUUUAUCAGGUUCCAGUAGAACCACCUCAAUAAAGCGCAUGCCAUCUCUGACCUAAAAUGUUUUUGCAAAAAAAUAAAUAAAUGAAAACAAUUAGAGGAAUUGGGAGCAAAUGAUGUCCUGUUGUUCC